AACGUAGGGGACAAGCGUUAUCCGGAUUUACUGGGCGUAAAGCGCCCGUAGGCGGCCUGACAAGUUGGACGUGAAAGCUCCUGGCUUAACUGGGAGAGGCCGUUCAAAACUGUCAAGCUAGAGUCUGGAAGAGGAGAGCGGAAUUCCCGGUGUAGUGGUGGAAUGCGUAGAGAUCGGGAGGAACACCAGUGGCGAAAGCGGCUCUCUGGUCCAAAACUGACGCUGAGGGGCGAAAGCGUGGGGGAGCGAACGGG
RNAcentral lists this ribosomal RNA (254 nucleotides) under uncultured bacterium. Its description in RNAcentral is "partial 16S ribosomal RNA". It matches the Rfam family "Bacterial small subunit ribosomal RNA", at positions 524 to 776 of the family's 1533-position model. The record is from RNAcentral.